UACGUAGGGCGCAAGCGUUGUCCGGAAUUAUUGGGCGUAAAGAGCUCGUAGGCGGCCUGUUGCGUCCGCUGUGAAAUCCCGGGGCUCAACCCCGGGCCUGCAGUGGAUACGGGCUGGCUAGAGGCAGGCAGGGGAGAACGGAAUUCCUGGUGUAGCGGUGAAAUGCGCAGAUAUCAGGAGGAACACCGGUGGCGAAGGCGGUUCUCUGGGCCUUACCUGACGCUCAGGCGCGAAAGCUAGGGGGAGCGAACUGG
RNAcentral lists this ribosomal RNA (254 nucleotides) under uncultured bacterium. Its description in RNAcentral is "partial 16S ribosomal RNA". It matches the Rfam family "Bacterial small subunit ribosomal RNA", at positions 524 to 776 of the family's 1533-position model. The record is from RNAcentral.